UGGGGAAUUUUGGACAAUGGGGGAAACCCUGAUCCAGCCAUCCCGCGUGUGCGAUGAAGGCCUUCGGGUUGUAAAGCACUUUUGGCAGGAAAGAAACGUCAUGGGUUAAUACCCCGUGAAACUGACGGUACCUGCAGAAUAAGCACCGGCUAACUACGUGCCAGCAGCCGCGGUAAUACGUAGGGUGCAAGCGUUAAUCGGAAUUACUGGGCGUAAAGCGUGCGCAGGCGGUUCGGAAAGAAAGAUGUGAAAUCCCAGAGCUCAACUUUGGAACUGCGUUUGUAACUACCGGGCUAGAGUGUGUCAGAGGGAGGUGGAAUUCCGCGUGUAGCAGUGAAAUGCGUAGAUAUGCGGAGGAACACCGAUGGCGAAGGCAGCCUACUGGGAUAACACUGACGCUCAUGCACGAAAGCGUGGGGAGCAAACAGG
Molecule: ribosomal RNA, 429 nt
Filed under: Acidobacteriota bacterium
Lineage: Bacteria; Pseudomonadati; Acidobacteriota
Description: Acidobacteria bacterium partial 16S ribosomal RNA
Rfam family: Bacterial small subunit ribosomal RNA
Source: RNAcentral